This 313-nucleotide ribosomal RNA is filed under the name Clostridioides difficile. Its description in RNAcentral is "partial 23S ribosomal RNA". It matches the Rfam family "Bacterial large subunit ribosomal RNA", at positions 613 to 925 of the family's 2925-position model. The record is from RNAcentral. Lineage: Bacteria; Bacillati; Bacillota; Clostridia; Peptostreptococcales; Peptostreptococcaceae.
GAACGGGCCAACGAGUUACGUUAAGUAGCAAGGUUAAGCACUUAAGGUGCGGAGCCGUAGCGAAAGCGAGUUUUAAUGAGCGUUCAGUUACUUGACGUAGACCCGAAACCGGGCGACCUACCCAUGAGCAGGAUGAAGCGAAAGUAAAAUUUCGUGGGGGUCCGAACCCACGAGCGUUGAAAAGCUCGGGGAUGACUUGUGGGUAGCGGUGAAAUUCCAAUCGAGCCCGGAGAUAGCUGGUUCUCCCCGAAAUAGCUUUAGGGCUAGCCUCAAGGUGAGAGAUACGGAGGUAGAGCACUGAAUGUCCUAGGGG